AGUGAACGCUGGCGGUAGGCCUAACACAUGCAAGUCGAACGGCAGCACAGGAGAGCUUGCUCUCUGGGUGGCGAGUGGCGGAAGGGUGAGGAAUACAUCGGAAUCUACUCUGUAGUGGGGGAUAACGUAGGGAAACUUACGCUAAUACCGCAUACGACCUACGGGUGAAAGCAGGGGAUCUUCGGACCUUGCGCGAUUGAAUGAGGCGAUGUCGGAUUAGCUAGUUGGCGGGGUAAAGGCCCACCAAGGCGACGAUCCGUAGCUGGUCUGCGAGGAUGAUCAGCCACACUGGAACUGAGACACGGUCCAGACUCCUACGGGAUGCAGCAGUGGGGAAUAUUGGACAAUGGGCGCAAGCCUGAUCCAGCCAUACCGCGUGGGUGAAGAAGGCCUUCGGGUUGUAAAGCCCUUUUGUUGGGAAAGAAAUCCAGCUGGCUAAUUCCCGGUUGGGAGGACGGUACCCAAAGAAUAAGCACCGGCUAACUUCGUGCCAGCCGCCGCCGUAA
Molecule: ribosomal RNA, 506 nt
Filed under: uncultured bacterium
Lineage: Bacteria
Description: partial 16S ribosomal RNA
Rfam family: Bacterial small subunit ribosomal RNA
Source: RNAcentral